This 253-nucleotide ribosomal RNA is filed under the name uncultured bacterium. Its description in RNAcentral is "partial 16S ribosomal RNA". It matches the Rfam family "Bacterial small subunit ribosomal RNA", at positions 524 to 776 of the family's 1533-position model. The record is from RNAcentral.
GACGUAGGUGGCGAGCGUUAUCCGGAUUUACUGGGCGUAAAGCGCGUGCAGGUGGUGCGAUAAGUCGGGCGUGAAAUCUCCUGGCUCAACUGGGAGAGGCCGUCCGAUACUAUCGGACUUGAGGGCAGUAGAGGGAGGUGGAAUUCCGGGUGUAGUGGUGAAAUGCGUAGAUAUCCGGAGGAACACCGGUGGCGAAGGCGGCCUCCUGGACUGCCCCUGACACUCAGACGCGAAAGCUAGGGGAGCGAACGGG